This is a non-coding RNA of Pelobates cultripes (western spadefoot toad), 90 nucleotides long. The record is from the annotation of a GenBank genome assembly. Lineage: Eukaryota; Metazoa; Chordata; Amphibia; Anura; Pelobatidae.
AGACUGGAGAUGGAGAAGCAUAAUAUAUACACUAAUACAACUUAAUAAAGCAGUUUUAGUGUAUAUAUUCUUCUUCUCCAGUCUCACUGC